Molecule: long non-coding RNA, 544 nt
Organism: Pan troglodytes (chimpanzee)
Lineage: Eukaryota; Metazoa; Chordata; Mammalia; Primates; Hominidae
Exons: 3
Source: RefSeq, a predicted model, not a curated record
GUGGAUUUUCCCCUUGCUAUUCUCAUGAUAGUGAGUUCUCACGAGAUCUAGUUGUUUGAAAGUGUGUAGCACUUCCCCCUUCGUUCUCUCUCUCCUGCUCCACCAUGGUAAGACAUGCUUGCUUCCCUGUUGCCUUCCUCUAUGAUGUCCACAGUCUCUACAAGUGGCACCCCAUCUCCAUCCCUCCAGGCAGCCUGUACUCAUGGCUCCUAGCAGAGUUAGAAUACUUGGAUCUGAAUGUCCAGGUUGUAUGAUCACAGACAAAGAGAAGGAACAGAAGACGAAGCUAGCAAGCUUCCCAUGAUUUCACUGCAAUUCAUUACGUGACCUUCUCCAGCCACGCUGGACACCCUUUCACAUUUCCUCCCCAGCAAUCCAGAAGCCCUGCAACAGCCACCUUUAGGAAAUCUUUGCAGUAUUAAUAAAAAUACUUCUCUGAGUGGGGGGCCAAGUACUUUCUAGGCACUACUAAGGAGAAUUACCCAGGCUGGACCAAACUGUAUUUUAUCCAGAUUAAAAAAUAAAUAAUAUUUAUUUAUGACCA